Molecule: ribosomal RNA, 694 nt
Filed under: uncultured Azospira sp.
Lineage: Bacteria; Pseudomonadati; Pseudomonadota; Betaproteobacteria; Rhodocyclales; Rhodocyclaceae
Description: bacterial SSU rRNA
Rfam family: Bacterial small subunit ribosomal RNA
Source: RNAcentral
AUUGAACGCUGGCGGCAUGCAGUACACAUGCAAGUCGAACGGCAGCACGGGAGCUUGCUCCUGGUGGCGAGUGGCGAACGGGUGAGUAAUACAUCGGAACGUACCCAGGAGUGGGGGAUAACGUAGCGAAAGUUACGCUAAUACCGCAUAUUCUGUGAGCAGGAAAGCGGGGGAUCGCAAGACCUCGCGCUCUUGGAGCGGCCGAUGUCGGAUUAGCUAGUUGGUGAGGUAAAAGCUCACCAAGGCGACGAUCCGUAGCAGGUCUGAGAGGAUGAUCUGCCACACUGGGACUGAGACACGGCCCAGACUCCUACGGGAGGCAGCAGUGGGGAAUUUUGGACAAUGGGGGCAACCCUGAUCCAGCCAUGCCGCGUGAGUGAAGAAGGCCUUCGGGUUGUAAAGCUCUUUCGGCGGGGAAGAAAUGGCAACGGCUAAUAUCCGUUGUUGAUGACGGUACCCGCAUAAGAAGCACCGGCUAACUACGUGCCAGCAGCCGCGGUAAUACGUAGGGUGCGAGCGUUAAUCGGAAUUACUGGGCGUAAAGCGUGCGCAGGCGGUUUCGUAAGACAGACGUGAAAUCCCCGGGCUCAACCUGGGAACUGCGUUUGUGACUGCGAGGCUAGAGUACGGCAGAGGGGGGUAGAAUUCCACGUGUAGCAGUGAAAUGCGUAGAGAUGUGGAGGAAUACCGAUGG